This is a non-coding RNA of Xyrauchen texanus (razorback sucker), 513 nucleotides long. The record is from the annotation of a RefSeq genome assembly. Lineage: Eukaryota; Metazoa; Chordata; Actinopteri; Cypriniformes; Catostomidae.
CCCAAAGUAAACAUGAGUGUAGGAUCCAUCAUAGUCUGGUUGCUCACAACCUGCACCUGUGUUUCUGUGGGGCAGAUUUUGACUCAAUCUGAGACUCAAACAGUGCAGUCUGAUCAAACUGUCACUAUUCACUGUAAACACACACCAGCGGUGGAUUGUUAUAAAAAAACUAAUACCUCUCAGAAGUGUAUGUCAUGGUACCAUCAGAUUCCUGGAGAAGCUCCUAAACUCCUGAUCUAUUACACAUCAAACAGAGCUUCAGGAGUUUCCUCUAGAUUCAGUGGCAGUGAAAGUGGAAAUCACAUUGACUUUACACUGACCAUCAGUCAAGUCCAGCCUGAAGAUUCAGGAGAUUAUUACUGUCAGAGUCUACACAGUAAAACUGGAGAUAGUGAGAACCCAGACUGGGUGUUCACACAGUAUAAAAGCAUCUUACAAAAACCUCUUGUUGUGGUUAGACUUCACUGCUAUGCGUCACCUCACUGCAGAUGGUGUUUAAAAUCACUUGGCUGA